AUUCCGAGUGUAAAACUCCCAAAACCAUUGUUUUACCUACCACUGUUGCUUCGGCGGCCUCUCCCCGGGCGCGUUCGCGCGGCCCGGACCCAGGCGUCCGCCGGAGGCUCCAAACUCUUGUCUUUUAGUGUAUUUCUGAGUGGCAUAAGCAAAUAAAUCAAAACUUUCAGCAACGGAUCUCUUGGUUCUGGCAUCGAUGAAGAACGCAGCAAAAUGCGAUAAGUAAUGUGAAUUGCAGAAUUCAGUGAAUCAUCGAAUCUUUGAACGCACAUUGCGCCCGCCAGUAUUCUGGCGGGCAUGCCUGUCUGAGCGUCAUUUCAACCCUCAGGACCCGUUCGCGGGACCUGGCGUUGGGGAUCAGCCUGCCCCUGGCGGCGGCUGGCCCUGAAAUCCAGUGGCGGUUCCCUCGCGAACUCCUCCGUGCAGUAAUUAAACCUCUCGCGGCAGGAUAGCGGUUGAACCACGCCGUUAAACCCCCCACUUCUCAAGGUUGACCUCAGAUCAGGUAGGAAUACCCGCUGAACUUAAGCAUAUCAUAAAGCGGAGGA
This 548-nucleotide ribosomal RNA is filed under the name Acremonium sp. Fun54W2. Its description in RNAcentral is "eukaryotic LSU rRNA". The stretch from base 162 to 315 matches the Rfam family "5.8S ribosomal RNA". The record is from RNAcentral. Lineage: Eukaryota; Fungi; Ascomycota; Sordariomycetes; Hypocreales; Bionectriaceae.